ACUAAAGCUAGCCCAAACACAAACUCUAUUUGUAUAAAAACAAUAUAAUAGUAAAAUAAAACAUUUAUCGUACUAAAGUAUAGGAGAUAGAAAUUUUAAAAUUGGAGCUAUAGAGAAAGUACCGUAAGGGAAUGAGUGAAAGAAAUAUUAAAAGUAAUAAAAAGCAAAGAUUAUCCCUUGUACCUUUUGCAUAAUGAUUUAACUAGAAUAAACUUAGCACAGCGACCUUAAGUUAAGCCCCCCGAAACCAGACGAGCUAUCCAUGAACAGCUAAAAUGAGCAAACUCGUCUAUGUAGCAAAAUAGUGAGAAGAUUUAUGGAUAGAGGUGAAAAGCCUACCGAGCCUGGUGAUAGCUGGUUGUCCAGCCAAGAAUUUUAGUUCAACUUUAAAUUUACCACACAAAAUACCAAUUCCCAUGUAAAUUUAACUGUUAAUCUGAAGAGGUACAGCUCUUCAGACCAAGGAUACAACCUUAAUUAGAGAGUAAAUCAUCUUAAUAACCAUAGUUGGCUUAAAAGCAGUCAUCAAUUAAGAAAGCGUUCAAGCUCAACAAUUAUCCUUACCUUAAUAUAAUAAUUCUAAAUUAUCUCCUAAAAAUUUACUGGACUAAUCUAUAAUUUUAUAGAAGAAAUACUGUUAAUAUGAGUAACAAGAUUAUAAUCUCCUAAGCGCAAACUUAUGUCAGACCAGAUAAUAACUGAUAGUUAACAGCCCACUAAAUAAAACCUAAGAUUAAUCAUUUACAUUAAUUUUACUGUUAAACCGACACAGGGGCGCACCUUUAUAAAGGAAAGAUUAAAAGAAGUAAAAGGAACUCGGCAAACAUAAACCCCGCCUGUUUACCAAAAACAUCACCUCUAGCAUCAUUAGUAUUAGAGGCACUGCCUGCCCAGUGACAACUGUUAAACGGCCGCGGUAUCCUGACCGUGCAAAGGUAGCAUAAUCAUUUGUUCCUUAAAUAGGGACUUGUAUGAAUGGCCACACGAGGGUUUAACUGUCUCUUACUUCUAAUCAGUGAAAUUGACCUUUCCGUGAAGAGGCGGAAAUACACAAAUAAGACGAGAAGACCCUAUGGAGCUUUAAUUUUUUAAUCCAACAAACUUAUUAUUUACCCAUAAGGAAUAACCUAAUAUUCUGACUGGAUUAAAAAUUUUGGUUGGGGUGACCUCGGAGUAUAAAUCAACCUCCGAGAAUUCAAUACCAAGACCUACAAGUCAAAGUAAAAUACUAUACUGAUCCAGUCUAACUGAUCAACGGAACAAGUUACCCUAGGGAUAACAGCGCAAUCCUAUUCAAGAGUCCAUAUCGACAAUAGGGUUUACGACCUCGAUGUUGGAUCAGGACAUCCUAAUGGUGCAGCAGCUAUUAAUGGUUCGUUUGUUCAACGAUUAAAGUCCUACGUGAUCUGAGUUCAGACCGGAGUAAUCCAGGUCGGUUUCUAUCUAUUUAACAUUUCUCCCAGUACGAAAGGAUAAGAGAAAUAGGGCCAACUUACAAAUAGGCGCCCUCAAGCAAAUAAAUGAUAUUAUCUUAAUUUAAUUAACUUAUUACCUAAAUCGCUUUAGACCAAAGUUUUU
RNAcentral lists this ribosomal RNA (1578 nucleotides) under Nectogale elegans (Elegant water shrew). RNAcentral's name for it is "16S ribosomal RNA". It matches the Rfam family "Bacterial large subunit ribosomal RNA". Lineage: Eukaryota; Metazoa; Chordata; Mammalia; Eulipotyphla; Soricidae. The record is from RNAcentral.